ACCCUUUAAUGUUUGAUGUUCUAACGUGGACCCGUUACCCGGGUUGCGGACAGUGUCUGGUGGGUAGUUUGACUGGGGCGGUCUCCUCCUAAAGAGUAACGGAGGAGCACGAAGGUUGGCUAAUCCUGGUCGGACAUCAGGAGGUUAGUGCAAUGGCAUAAGCCAGCUUGACUGCGAGCGUGACGGCGCGAGCAGGUGCGAAAGCAGGUCAUAGUGAUCCGGUGGUUCUGAAUGGAAGGGCCAUCGCUCAACGGAUAAAAGGUACUCCGGGGAUAACAGGCUGAUACCGCCCAAGAGUUCAUAUCGACGGCGGUGUUUGGCACCUCGAUGUCGGCUCAUCACAUCCUGGGGCUGAAGUAGGUCCCAAGGGUAUGGCUGUUCGCCAUUUAAAGUGGUACGCGAGCUGGGUUUAGAACGUCGUGAGACAGUUCGGUCCCUAUCUGCCGUGGGCGCUGGAGAACUGAGGGGGGCUGCUCCUAGUACGAGAGGACCGGAGUGGACGCAUCACUGGUGUUCGGGUUGUCAUGCCAAUGGCACUGCCCGGUAGCUAAAUGCGGAAGAGAUAAGUGCUGAAAGCAUCUAAGCACGAAACUUGCCCCGAGAUGAGUUCUCCCUGAGACUUAAAGUCUCCUGAAGGAACGUUGAAGACGACGACGUUGAUAGGCCGGGUGUGUAAGCGCAGCGAUGCGUUGAGCUAACCGGUACUAAUGAACCGUGAGGCUUAACCUUACAACGCCGAAG
RNAcentral lists this ribosomal RNA (741 nucleotides) under Salmonella enterica. Its description in RNAcentral is "partial 23S ribosomal RNA". It matches the Rfam family "Bacterial large subunit ribosomal RNA", at positions 2202 to 2925 of the family's 2925-position model. The record is from RNAcentral. Lineage: Bacteria; Pseudomonadati; Pseudomonadota; Gammaproteobacteria; Enterobacterales; Enterobacteriaceae. RNAcentral also lists the same sequence under 1 other name.